CCUACGGGAGGCAGCAGUGAGGAAUAUUGGUCAAUGGACGAGAGUCUGAACCAGCCAAGUAGCGUGAAGGAUGACUGCCCUAUGGGUUGUAAACUUCUUUUACAUGGGAAUAAAAUGUUCCACGUGUGGGAUUUUGUAUGUACCAUAUGAAUAAGGAUCGGCUAACUCCGUGCCAGCAGCCGCGGUAAUACGGAGGAUCCGAGCGUUAUCCGGAUUUAUUGGGUUUAAAGGGAGCGUAGGUGGAUUGUUAAGUCAGUUGUGAAAGUUUGCGGCUCAACCGUAAAAUUGCAGUUGAAACUGGCAGUCUGGAGUACAGUAGAGGUGGGCGGAAUUCGUGGUGUAGCGGUGAAAUGCUUAGAUAUCACGAAGAACUCCGAUUGCGAAGGCAGCUCACUGGACUGCAACUGACACUGAGGCUCGAAAGUGUGGGUAUCAAACAGGAUUAGAUACCCCUGUAGUC
This 460-nucleotide ribosomal RNA is filed under the name uncultured bacterium. Its description in RNAcentral is "partial 16S ribosomal RNA". It matches the Rfam family "Bacterial small subunit ribosomal RNA", at positions 338 to 795 of the family's 1533-position model. The record is from RNAcentral.